GUUGAUCCUGCCGGAGGCCAUUGCUAUUGGAGUCCGAUUUAGCCAUGCUAGUUGUACGAGUUCAUACUCGUAGCAAAUAGCUCAGUAACACGUGGCCAAACUACCCUCUGAGCACGAUAACCUCGGGAAACUGAGGCUAAUAGUGCAUACUGCUCGACGCUGGAACUGGCUCGAGCCCGAAAUGCCCCGGCGCCAGAGGAUGUGGCUGCGGCCGAUUAGGUAGACGGUGGGGUAACGGCCCACCGUGCCAAUAAUCGGUACGGGUUGUGAGAGCAAGAGCCCGGAGACGGUAUCUGAGACAAGAUACCGGGCCCUACGGGGCGCAGCAGGCGCGAAACCUUUACACUGCACGCCAGUGCGAUAAGGGGACUCCAAGUGCGAGGGCAUAACGUCCUCGCUUUUCGUGACCGUAAGGUGGUCACAGAAUAAGGGCUGGGCAAGACCGGUGCCAGCCGCCGCGGUAAUACCGGCAGCCCAAGUGAUGGCCGCUCUUAUUGGGCCUAAAGCGUCCGUAGCUGGCCCAGCAAGUCCAUCGGGAAAUCUGUCCGCCUAACGGACAGGCGUCCGGUGGAAACUGCUGGGCUUGGGACCGGAAGACCAGAGGGGUACGUCUGGGGUAGGAGUGAAAUCCUGUAAUCCUGGACGGACCACCGGUGGCGAAAGCGCCUCUGGAAGACGGAUCCGACGGUGAGGGACGAAAGCUCGGGUCACGAACCGGAUUAGAUACCCGGGUAGUCCGAGCUGUAAACGAUGUCUGCUAGGUGUGGCACAGGCUACGAGCCUGUGCUGUGCCGUAGGGAAGCCGUGAAGCAGACCGCCUGGGAAGUACGUCCGCAAGGAUGAAACUUAAAGGAAUUGGCGGGGGAGCAC
Molecule: ribosomal RNA, 870 nt
Filed under: uncultured archaeon
Lineage: Archaea
Description: bacterial SSU rRNA
Rfam family: Archaeal small subunit ribosomal RNA
Source: RNAcentral